RNAcentral lists this ribosomal RNA (573 nucleotides) under Bacillus anthracis (anthrax bacterium). RNAcentral's name for it is "bacterial LSU rRNA". It matches the Rfam family "Bacterial large subunit ribosomal RNA", at positions 1 to 564 of the family's 2925-position model. The record is from RNAcentral. Lineage: Bacteria; Bacillati; Bacillota; Bacilli; Caryophanales; Bacillaceae.
UUUGGUUAAGUUAGAAAGGGCGCACGGUGGAUGCCUUGACACUAGGAGUCGAUGAAGGACGGGACUAACGCCGAUAUGCUUCGGGGAGCUGUAAGUAAGCUUUGAUCCGAAGAUUUCCGAAUGGGGAAACCCACCAUACGUAAUGGUAUGGUAUCCUUAUCUGAAUACAUAGGGUAAGGAAGACAGACCCAGGGAACUGAAACAUCUAAGUACCUGGAGGAAGAGAAAGCAAAUGCGAUUUCCUGAGUAGCGGCGAGCGAAACGGAACAUAGCCCAAACCAAGAGGCUUGCCUCUUGGGGUUGUAGGACAUUCUAUACGGAGUUACAAAGGAACGAGGUAGACGAAGCGACCUGGAAAGGUCCGUCGUAGAGGGUAACAACCCCGUAGUCGAAACUUCGUUCUCUCUUGAAUGUAUCCUGAGUACGGCGGAACACGUGAAAUUCCGUCGGAAUCUGGGAGGACCAUCUCCCAAGGCUAAAUACUCCCUAGUGAUCGAUAGUGAACCAGUACCGUGAGGGAAAGGUGAAAAGCACCCCGGAAGGGGAGUGAAAGAGAUCCUGAAACCGUGUGCC